Molecule: long non-coding RNA, 4232 nt
Filed under: Malus domestica (apple)
Lineage: Eukaryota; Viridiplantae; Streptophyta; Magnoliopsida; Rosales; Rosaceae
Description: long non-coding RNA (MDOM_LNC009592)
Source: RNAcentral
CCGAAAUUGAAGGAAAGAUGAGAGAAAAUCGGUUACGGUGGUUUGGACAUGUGCAAAGAAGGCCUACUGACGCUCCGAUUAGAAGAUGCGACUAUGGGACAGAGGUUCAGGGCCGAAGGGGUAGAGGAAGACCUAGGAAAACUUUGGAAGAGACUCUAAGAAAAGACUUAGAGUACUUGGAUCUAACGGAGGACAUGACACAGGACCAAGCACAAUGGCGUUCAAAGAUUCAUAUAGCAGAUCCCACUUAGUGACUUGGAUUUUCCAAGUCUCCAACCGAGAAGUUUUUCUCACUCGGGAAAUUAAGGGAAUACUACCUCAACCUACAUGCUCCACUCACAAAGCUUCAACAUACAAGCUUCAACAAAAGAAAAUUCAGAGAACUUGGCGAAGAAGGUUUUGGUGUAUUUAACACAAUACGUUGAAAUGAAGGAAAGCUAUUUAUUGAUAUCUCCGAUAAGUCAUAAAUAUGUACAUAUACAUGAGUCAAAAUAAACAAACAAGAGGGAGCCUUCACAAAGGUUGCUUAGGAGAAGUCUCAGCAGUCGGUAGAGCCCCAGAAAGAGCAGGCACUGGAGGGGGAUCAUUUGGAGCCUCAGUACUGGACAGAACCCUAGAAGGAGGAGGCAGCAGAGGUUGAUCAUUUGGAGCUUCAUUACACGGUACAGCCCCAGAAGACGAAGACAAUAAAUGCCUUUGGAACAAACCCACAAAUAUCUGAUGAUCAAGUAAAACCUGACCAUCAGAUUCCUUCAUCUGGUCAAGCUUCCUCUUCAUGUUUGUAGCAUAGUCAUGUGCGAGCCGGUGCAACUGUUUAUUCUCAUGCUUGAGCCCUCUAAUCUCCUGUUUGAGACUCAUCACUUCAGCCGCCAAUGAUUCAACUUGGCGGGUUCUAGCAAAUAGGCGUUGGGCCAUGUUAGACACAGAACCUGCACACUGAACAUUGAGAGCCAGAUAAUCCUUAACAGCCAACUCAUCAGACCGUUUGGAAAGUAGUUUGUUAUCUUUGGGAGUGAAAAGGUUCCUGGCCACUACCGCAGCGAUCAUAUCAUUCUUCAUCACGGAAUCUCCAACGGUAAGAGGACCAGUAGGGGAGACGAAUGAUGGACGCCAUAUGUUGUCUGGAGAAGGCGUGGCUGCCUCUUCAACAAGGUUCAAGUCAAAACGACGGUCGGAUGUGCCAGACAUUUUCAAAGGUGUUGAAGAGAGAAGAGGUCGGACAAAUCAAGAUCUUAGAAGUGCAAGAAUGGAGCUUCUACUGGUGGAGAUUCAAGUGUGCUUUGGAACUUAAUGCCAGCCUCUAUAAAAAUCUGCACUCGACGGAGCUUAAAAAAUCGAAGAGGCGUUUGCUUUCUCAAAAGCUGGGCUGCUCAAAGACCAUGAGACGUUUGCUUUCUCAAAAGUUGGGCUGCUCAAAGACCACGAAGGCCGAUCUCAGAAAUCGAAGAGGAGCUUGCUUUCUCAAAAGCUGGGCUGCUCAUAGGCCACGAGGGCUGAUCUCAGAAAUCGAAGAGUCACCUACUUUUCCAGCCUUGUCAGCACCUGUCAGCUUUGCGGAAAUUAUGGGCAUUAUGUCAAAGAUUUCUGGUGAAGUAGAAAGCACAUGAAUCUUACUGUUCAAUCACCCACUUCCCACACGCAACAUUAGCUCAUGGGUACCACAGAUAACUUUGCCAAAGUUCUCUGACAAAGUUGAGACACGUGAAGCUUGCAGCUCCCACUACAUCGCUCUGACCAAGAAGGGUAAAAGAAUAGCAAAUAAACAGCACUAACAAAGUUUAGACACAUAAAUUUUGAAGGUCUAGCUACCAUAUUAUUACCCACAAGGGUAAAGGAAUAGUACCACUGCUGGAUAAUUGGAAAGUCCCUGUGUAUCAACCUCUGUGCUUCGUAGUAAGAUAGACUAGCAAACAUGCCAAACAUUUUCUCACAUUCGAGAAAACACUCCCAACAAGAUUGCUUGCUCCAAAAUCGAAGAGGCACCGUCCUCCGAAUCUCGAGAGCCAGACUCCCAACAUGAUUACUUUCUCAAAAAUCGAAGAGACACCGCUAUCCGAAUCUCGAGAGCCAGACCCCUAGCAGGAUUGCUUUCUCAAAAAUUGAAAAGGCAUUGUUCUCCGAAUCUCGAGAGCCAGAUCUCCAACAGGAUUGCUUGUUCGAAAACCGAAGAGGCACCAUUUUCCCAACUUCAAGAGCCGGAUCUUCUUGGAUAAAGCUUGUCUGUAAUCUUUACACGCAACAUCAGCUUUCUAGAUACCACAGACCACUUUUUCAAAGUGCUCUGACAGAGUUAAAACAUGUGAAGCUGGCAGCUCCCACUACCAUGUUAUGACCAAGCAUGGUAAAUGAAUAGCAUUACUACUUGUUGUUAGGGAGACUCUUAUAUAUGUUGACCUCCAUCCCCAACAGACAGGCAGACCUGCAAAAAUGCCCAAUCCUUCCUCAUAUCUGAGAGGGCACUCCCAAAGAAGCCUUUCUAAAUAUUCAGCUUUCUUUCCCCCCGAUAAUACCUCUGCAAACAAGCUAUAUUAGAGCAAGAAUAUCUCAUAUUAUCAGGGUUAAAAGCAAGAGUAUCUCAUAUCAUGUUUUUUCCCUGUCUUUUCCUUUGGCCUUGUUCUUACCUGCAAGACAAGGAGAAAGAGAGCAAUCAGUCAGCACUUGGAAUCAAGCUUCCAGUCAGGAACUGACUGCUUGGAACCCCUUACUUGAUUACUUACCUGGCAUUGUUCUCGAGUACUCAUCUUCAACAUUUUAUGCUUCCAGGGAAGAUACCGCAUCUGCCUGAGGAACAUAUAGGACAAGUGAGAAGGAUACAAGGAAGCAUGUGGAAACAAGCGUAACAGCACACGUGCCGAUACAUCCACUACUCUGUCAAAAGCAAAAGUAUCCCAUAUCAGCAGGGUCGAACGUACUAUAGAUUUGAUGGACUUGUUUUGACCCUCAAAUUCUUCAGUCGGCCUUAUACUCUGGAGGAAACCAGAAAACCCUCCAGCCCAGUUCAAGAAUAAGCCUGUGGAAAGUUACUUCUUCAAAAGCAAAAGUAUCCCAUAUCAUCUCUUCUCAUUUUUCUUCUCUUUAUCCUUCAUGCUGCCUGCAAGAUAGGGAGAAUGUGAACAAUCAGCCGGAACUCGAAAUCAAAGUUCUGAUCUGGGACUGAUUGCUUGGAGCUCUGAUUGCUUACCUUGUCUGUCACAUCUUUCAGCAGAUCCCCUAGCUCGGCGACUUGGAGGACUCAUACUACAUGGUUUGUAUCGCGCUUGACCAAGCCUGAAACUACAAGUAAGCUUCAAGUGAAAUUGAUACAUUACCUUGUGCAUCUCCACCAGUUAAAGAUACCACUUCUGGAUGGAGGAAGAGUACUUCCAGAGAAGAUGCCACAUCUACCUACGUGACAGAUAAGGCAAGUCAAGACGAUACCACACUCCGGAACUUAGAAGUUUCGUGAUUACGAGAUCAUUCUCCCACAAUAUUUCCUAAUGUCAUUUGUACUAAAUCAUUCACUAGUACUCACUAAAAGAGAGCUUGAACCUAUGUACUUGUGUAAACCCUUCACAAUUAAUGAGAACUCCUCUAUUUCGUGGACGUAGCCAAUAUGGGUGAACCACGUACAUCUGGUGUUUGCUUUCCUAUCUCUAUAUCCAUUUAUAUACUUAUCCACACUAAUGACCGGAGCAAUCUAGCGACGAUCACAAAAAGCGAUCGUUUUCGUUACCUAGGAUCUAUCUUGCAAGAGAACGAAGAAUUAGAUGGAGAUCUCAACCAUAGAAUACAAGCUGGAUGGAUGAGGUGUAAGAGUGCAUCCGGUGUGUUGUGUGACCGUUGUAGGUCACUGAAGCUCAAGGGAAAAUUUUAUAGGACGGCAAUAAGGCCAACGAUGUUGUAUGGCACAGAAUGUUGGGCGGUGAAACAUCAACACGUACACAAAAUGGGUGUAGCGGAGAUAAGGAUGCUUCGUGGGAUGUGUGGGCACACGAGAAAUGAUAAGAUUGUGAAUGAGGAUAUCCGAGGUAAAGUAGGAGUAGCCGAAGUUAAAGGAAAGAUGAGAGAAAAUCGGUUACGGUGGUUUGGACAUGUGCAAAGAAGGCCUACUGACGCUCCGGUUCGAAGAUGUGACUACGGAACAGAGGUUCGGGGCCGAAGGGGUAGAGGAAGACCUAUGAAAACUUUGGAAGAGACCCUAAGAAAAGACUUAGAGUACUUGGAUCUAACGGAGGACAUGACACAAAACCGAA